RNAcentral lists this ribosomal RNA (620 nucleotides) under uncultured Actinomycetes bacterium. RNAcentral describes it as "bacterial SSU rRNA". It matches the Rfam family "Bacterial small subunit ribosomal RNA", at positions 556 to 1174 of the family's 1533-position model. The record is from RNAcentral. Lineage: Bacteria; Bacillati; Actinomycetota; Actinomycetes.
GGGCGUAAGGGCUCGUAGGUGGUUGAUCGCGUCGGAAGUGUAAUCUUGGGGCUUAACCCUGAGCGUGCUUUCGGUACGGGUUGACUUGAGGAAGGUAGGGGAGAAUGGAAUUCCUGGUGGAGCGGUGGAAUGCGCAGAUAUCAGGAGGAACACCAGUGGCGAAGGCGGUUCUCUGGGCCUUUCCUGACGCUGAGGAGCGAAAGCGUGGGGAGCGAACAGGCUUAGAUACCCUGGUAGUCCACGCUGUAAACGGUGGGUACUAGGUGUGGGGUCCAUUCCACGGGUUCCGUGCCGUAGCUAACGCUUUAAGUACCCCGCCUGGGGAGUACGGCCGCAAGGCUAAAACUCAAAGGAAUUGACGGGGCCCCGCACAAGCGGCGGAGCAUGCGGAUUAAUUCGAUGCAACGCGUAGAACCUUACCUGGGUUUGACAUGGAUCGGGAGCGCCCAGAGAUGGGUGUGCCUCUUUUGGGGUCGGUUCACAGGUGGUGCAUGGCUGUCGUCAGCUCGUGUCGUGAGAUGUUGGUUAAGUCCCGCAACGAGCGCAACCCUUGUUCACUGUUGCCAGCACGUUAUGGUGGGGACUCAGUGGAGACCGCCGGGGUCAACUCGGAGGAAGGU